ACCGGCGUUUGAUCACGUUCCGUCGCCGUACUCCGGUCCCUCUGGCAGCGAUAUCAUUGCCAAGCGUAGAGAGUAUCUUAGCCCUUCAAUCUUCCAUUCCUACAAAACGCCGGUGAGAUUCCACCGCACCGGAUAAUUCCUCAUUAAUAAUUAUAACCGUCUACAAUUAACUGCACUUUGAUUGUGUUAUUAUUUCCGUUAAAAACUUAAAAUACAACGGUAAAUCAAAUUAAUGACAUGUGAAAUGAGAAAUAAAUAAUGAUUAACUGGUUUUUAAUGGAAUUUGAUUGCGUGUGGGAGGUUACAGUUGAACGUGGUGGAAGGGAAGAGACAGUACCUUUUCGAUGAAAACGGGAGGAGGUACCUUGAUGCGUUUGGAGGGAUUGCUACGGUGUGCUGCGGGCACUGCCACCCUGAUGUAGUCGCAGCAAUCGUGGAACAAACCAAAAAGUUACAGCACUCAACGAUUUUGUAUCUCAACCAUGCCAUUACUGAUUUUGCCGAAG
This 506-nucleotide long non-coding RNA is filed under the name Lathyrus oleraceus (garden pea). RNAcentral's name for it is "Pisum sativum (pea) long non-coding RNA (PSAT_LNC010587)". The record is from RNAcentral. Lineage: Eukaryota; Viridiplantae; Streptophyta; Magnoliopsida; Fabales; Fabaceae.